This 459-nucleotide ribosomal RNA is filed under the name bacterium 12WB. Its description in RNAcentral is "bacterial SSU rRNA". It matches the Rfam family "Bacterial small subunit ribosomal RNA", at positions 76 to 532 of the family's 1533-position model. The record is from RNAcentral.
GGGGCAACCUGGCGGCGAGUGGCGAACGGGUGAGUAAUAUAUCGGAACGUACCCUGGAGUGGGGGAUAACGUAGCGAAAGUUACGCUAAUACCGCAUACGAUCUAAGGAUGAAAGUGGGGGAUCGCAAGACCUCAUGCUCCUGGAGCGGCCGAUAUCUGAUUAGCUAGUUGGUGGGGUAAAGGCCUACCAAGGCAUCGAUCAGUAGCUGGUCUGAGAGGACGACCAGCCACACUGGAACUGAGACACGGUCCAGACUCCUACGGGAGGCAGCAGUGGGGAAUUUUGGACAAUGGGCGAAAGCCUGAUCCAGCAAUGCCGCGUGAGUGAAGAAGGCCUUCGGGUUGUAAAGCUCUUUUGUCAGGGAAGAAACGGUGGGUUCUAAUACAGCCUGCUAAUGACGGUACCUGAAGAAUAAGCACCGGCUAACUACGUGCCAGCAGCCGCGGUAAUACGGAGGU